RNAcentral lists this ribosomal RNA (900 nucleotides) under Triticum aestivum (bread wheat). Its description in RNAcentral is "partial small subunit ribosomal RNA". Lineage: Eukaryota; Viridiplantae; Streptophyta; Magnoliopsida; Poales; Poaceae. The record is from RNAcentral.
AUGGGUCAUGUUACUGCUAGAUGUCCUCAAGCUAUCUGCGGUAGAUGUAAGAAGAAAGGGCACCUUGCUGUUGUUUGUUCUGAAUUUCUUCCCUGGGAAUAUGUGCCUGCGAUGUGUGCUUUUCAAGCCAAGGGGCAAGGGUUUCAUUACAUUCCUGAUUUCAGUAUUGAUAGACAGGCUAGAGAGAAUAUUUUCAACAUUGUCGUCACUAUCGUUGAGGGUUCUGCUCCUACUAAGGAUAUUGAACAUGAGCUUAGUGUUUAUGUGGGGCAAGGGUGGCGUUGCUCUGCUAGGUUUUUUGCACCUCAGAAAUUUGUGAUGAGGAUGCCUAAUCCUAGGGAAGUAGAUCGGGCUCUGUUUGUGGAGUAUGUGAGGCUGAAACAAUGCAAUGUUAAUGUUAGAUUUUCUCCCUGGUCCGAGGACAUUGAUUCUGAUGGACUAUUGGAGGUCGCUUGGGUGAGGAUUGGGAGAAUCCCUAUUAACAAAAGAUGUGAUAAGACUGUUGCUUAUGUGGGGGGCCUGGUGGGGAUCACUCUAGAGGUGGAUAUGUCUACCAUUAAUCGCCCCUCUUCAGUCCGAGCCAAGAUUGGCUGCAGGCUGGUGGAUAAACUCCCCAGCUCAGCUGAGGGGGUGCUGGGGGCCGUUUUUACAGAUUUACUUAUGAGGUUGAGGAGAUUUUGGUUAAGAACCCUGUUGUGGAGGAUGUUAAUGCUCAUAUUUCCAAUGAUGAACCUGCUAAACAUGAUCAAACUCCAAAGAGGAAGCGUGAUGAUCCUAAAGAUGGUGAUAGUCGCUCGGACUUCCCUGAUCGUGACAGAAGUGGUACUUCCCGUGGUGGUAAAACCUGUCGUUUACUGCCAGUGGAGAAUGAGAUGUCUGCCUCCUCUGAAAGUGAGGUAG